ACGGAAGGCAGCAGUGGGGAAUAUUGCACAAUGGGCGCAAGCCUGAUGCAGCAACGCCGCGUGAGUGAAGAAGGUCUUCGGAUCGUAAAGCUCUGUCCUAAGGGAAGAAGAAGUGACGGUACCUUAGGAGGAAGCCCCGGCUAACUACGUGCCAGCAGCCGCGGUAAUACGUAGGGGGCGAGCGUUAUCCGGAAUUAUUGGGCGUAAAGAGUACGUAGGUGGUUUUGUAAGCGUGAGGUGAAAGCCUGCAGCUUAACUGCAGCGAGCCUCAUGAACUGCAAGACUUGAGUGCAGGAGGGGUAAGUGGAACUCCAUGUGUAGCGGUGAAAUGCGUAGAUAUCAGGAAGAACACCGGCGGCGAAGGCGGCUUUCUGGACUAAAACUGACGCUGAGGCACGAAAGCGUGGGGAGCAAACAGGAUUAGAUACCCUGGUA
Molecule: ribosomal RNA, 435 nt
Filed under: uncultured Anaerovorax sp.
Lineage: Bacteria; Bacillati; Bacillota; Clostridia; Peptostreptococcales; Anaerovoracaceae
Description: bacterial SSU rRNA
Rfam family: Bacterial small subunit ribosomal RNA
Source: RNAcentral